CUUCUAGAACUCUCAUCCCUGAAUUCUCUUCUCCUAAUUUUGAGGAGGAGUGGGUGUGGCAAUCAUGCAUUGAUUUCCCCACUGAAUAUUUCAGAAAGCUGCACCUUCUUUUAUGGAGCUUAUCUUUCUCCAGCCAAGACAUCCAAAAUGACAUGCUAUUGGAAGACAUUUCUGUCUAUGUUAAUACCUGUGUUUAAAUUUUUUUUUGUUGUGGUUUAAAAAAAAAUGAUCAUGAUGUGAUAGCAAAUGAAUGUUGGCAAAUUACCAACUGACAGGCGUAAAAUUUUAUGAACGUGCACAUUCCAAAGGAAUGUGGAAAUAAGCCAUCCACUGUAGUCCAGUUUGGCAGAAAUAUUACAAAAAUAUAAGUUUGGCAUAUAUUGUAAUUCAUUUAAAGAUGCUUAAAAACCCAUCCAUCAACCUUGCAUGGAAGGUCAAAGAAACACAUGAAUCCCAAAUAAACAAUAACUGAUGUACAAGGAAAA
Canis lupus familiaris (dog) is the source of this 485-nucleotide long non-coding RNA. RefSeq lists it as uncharacterized. The transcript is spliced from 2 exons. Lineage: Eukaryota; Metazoa; Chordata; Mammalia; Carnivora; Canidae. The record is from RefSeq and is a predicted model, not a curated record.